Molecule: non-coding RNA, 31 nt
Filed under: Mus musculus (house mouse)
Lineage: Eukaryota; Metazoa; Chordata; Mammalia; Rodentia; Muridae
Source: RNAcentral
UGAAAAGCCCAGCUCUAGUCCACCUUCUCCA